Molecule: transfer RNA, 64 nt
Filed under: Entiminae sp. ACP-2013
Lineage: Eukaryota; Metazoa; Arthropoda; Insecta; Coleoptera; Curculionidae
Description: tRNA-Leu
Source: RNAcentral
UUCUAAAAUGGCAGAAUAGUGCAUUGGAUUUAAACCCCAAAUAUAAAAUAUAAUUUUUUUUAGA